CUUGGAGUCAGCAGGCAGAGUUUUGGCUGUCUUCACACUCACUUUAUAUUCACUGGCUUCUAGGGAGCAAUUCUGCAAUUCUUACCAACCUAGGGGAGAGGAAAAUCAGACUAAAAUACAGUUUCAGACAGCAUUACAGUGGAGUAUACAAUAUAAACAGAAUAGGACAUGCUGCAAAUGUUGGAUGAGAGCCAAAGCAGCGAAGGAGAUGUGUGAUGCUGAAGUGGCCAGAGCUUGUUGAAGCUUUUUAAGGAGCAGGGUUUUUCAUCAGAAAAUGCUUAUUCGGUGGAAUUGAGACAUUCUUUUAGCUCUGACAGGUCAUGUUUGCUGGAAGAAAUCCUUCCAGCCGCCCAUUUCUGGGCCAUUCUUCCCCUCAGACCCCAUGUGUAGUGGUUGUUCUGGAGUUUGGUUCAUGAGGCUUCACCUCCAGCCUCCUCAGGCUGACUCUGGGCUCUCCUUGCCAUGCCAGAAACAUUAAGAAAUUCUGUUUCCGUUCUUCUAAAUGUUUUUCUUUUAAUUUCCACCUUUGGAAGAUUUCUUACAGCUGAAAUUUUGUUCUGAUUCUGAACAAAAAGCAAUUUCACCCCUUUGCCCUCCUCGCUGCAGUUUUGAAAAUGAGGAUUUCUGCAGGAUGGAAAUUUUGGCUGGGUUCUGUCCUUUCACAAAACUACUGUGAAUUUUGACAGAGCAGAGGAGUCAGCAGGAAACCACUGGAGCUGCAGUUUGAACGCUGGAUUGGCAGAGAAUUCUAAGGGGUUCCCUCUGCUGAACUUCAAUGCUUGUCUGCAAGACCAGACUUCAUUGUUGUAGACCAGCCUUUCAUUUUGCUCUCUCAGGCUGCACUGUCCCAAGGGAAAUGAAGACUGGAUUUCUAAGAGUGUCCUGUGCAGGACUGGAAGUCACAAAGCU
This 909-nucleotide long non-coding RNA is filed under the name Cyanistes caeruleus (blue tit). RNAcentral's name for it is "lncRNA (ENSCCEG00000023215.1)". The record is from RNAcentral. Lineage: Eukaryota; Metazoa; Chordata; Aves; Passeriformes; Paridae.